GUGUCAGCCGCCGCGGUAAUACAGAGGGUGCAAGCGUUAAUCGGAUUUACUGGGCGUAAAGCGUGCGUAGGUGGUGGUGUAAGUCGGAUGUGAAAGCCCUGGGCUCAACCUGGGAACUGCAUUCGAUACUGCAUUACUAGAGUUCGGUAGAGGGCGGCGGAAUUCCGGGUGUAGCGGUGAAAUGCGUAGAUAUCCGGAGGAACACCGAUGGCGAAGGCAACCGCCUGGGCCUGAACUGACACUGAGGCACGAAAGCGUGGGGAGCAAACAGGAUUAGAAACCCGCGUAGUCC
This 292-nucleotide ribosomal RNA is filed under the name uncultured bacterium. Its description in RNAcentral is "partial 16S ribosomal RNA". It matches the Rfam family "Bacterial small subunit ribosomal RNA", at positions 505 to 796 of the family's 1533-position model. The record is from RNAcentral.